GCCGGGCGUGGUGUCUCAUGCCUGUAAUUCCAGCACUUUGGGAGGCCGAGGUGGGUGGAUCACCUGAGGUCAGGAUUUCCAGACCAGCCUGACCAACAUGGUGAAACCCCAUCUCUA
RNAcentral lists this non-coding RNA (117 nucleotides) under Pan paniscus (pygmy chimpanzee). The record is from Rfam by way of RNAcentral. Lineage: Eukaryota; Metazoa; Chordata; Mammalia; Primates; Hominidae. RNAcentral also lists the same sequence under 1 other name.